This is a transfer RNA of 82 nucleotides. It matches the Rfam family "tRNA". Rfam says of the family: Transfer RNA (tRNA) molecules are approximately 80 nucleotides in length. Their secondary structure includes four short double-helical elements and three loops (D, anti-codon, and T loops). The record is from Rfam.
GUCACUUUGCCGGAGUGGUUAACGGGUUCGCCUGCUAAGCGGAUGGUCUUUGACCGCGAGUGUUCGAAUCGCUCAGGUGACG